UCCGCAGUAGCUCAGUGGUAGAGCUAUCGGCUGUUAACCGAUCGGUCGUAGGUUCGAGUCCUGCCUGCGGAGCCA
This 75-nucleotide transfer RNA is filed under the name Bacillus cereus. RNAcentral describes it as "tRNA-Asn". It matches the Rfam family "tRNA". From Rfam's summary of the family: Transfer RNA (tRNA) molecules are approximately 80 nucleotides in length. Lineage: Bacteria; Bacillati; Bacillota; Bacilli; Caryophanales; Bacillaceae. The record is from RNAcentral.